UACGUAGGGGGCAAGCGUUGUCCGGAUUUAUUGGGCGUAAAGAGCUCGUAGGCGGUUCCGUAAGUCAGGUGUGAAAAAUCUGGGCUCAACCCAGUGGAGCACCUGAUACUGCGGUGACUCGAGUCCGGUAGGGGAGUGUGGAAUUCCUGGUGUGAGCGGUGAAAUGACGCAGAUAUCAGGAGGAACACCGAUGGCGAAGGCAGGUCUCUGGGCUGACACUGACGCUCAUGCACGAAAGCGUGGGGAGCAAACAGG
Molecule: ribosomal RNA, 255 nt
Filed under: uncultured bacterium
Lineage: Bacteria
Description: partial 16S ribosomal RNA
Rfam family: Bacterial small subunit ribosomal RNA
Source: RNAcentral